UGUACUUUGGAGAGAUAUUUUACAGCAUUGUUCUAGGGGAUCUUUUAUGCCCUAAUUUUCAUUUCUCUUCAUCUUAGAACCAUCUUCCACAAAAAGAAGGUGGAUUCCCAUCCAACUUCGAUUAUCCGACUUGGAUGUUGAUCAACCUUCUUUCCUUACUUGCCGACCAAGCUACCAAAAAAGAAGGUGGAUUCCCAUCCAACUUCGAUUAUCCGACUUGGAUGUUGAUCAACCUUCUUUCCUUACUUGCCGACCAAGCUACCAUGAAAAUGAGUAGCUAAGUCAUCCAUUUGUCAAGGUUAGAU
This 305-nucleotide long non-coding RNA is filed under the name Lathyrus oleraceus (garden pea). RNAcentral describes it as "Pisum sativum (pea) long non-coding RNA (PSAT_LNC008139)". The record is from RNAcentral. Lineage: Eukaryota; Viridiplantae; Streptophyta; Magnoliopsida; Fabales; Fabaceae.